This 468-nucleotide ribosomal RNA is filed under the name uncultured bacterium. RNAcentral's name for it is "partial 16S ribosomal RNA". It matches the Rfam family "Bacterial small subunit ribosomal RNA", at positions 28 to 507 of the family's 1533-position model. The record is from RNAcentral.
GACGAACGCUGGCGGCGUGCUUAACACAUGCAAGUCGAACGGAAAGGCCCUGCUUUUGUGGGGUGCUCGAGUGGCGAACGGGUGAGUAACACGUGAGUAACCUGCCCUUGACUUUGGGAUAACUUCAGGAAACUGGGGCUAAUACCGGAUAGGAGCUCCUGCUGCAUGGUGGGGGUUGGAAAGUUUCGGCGGUUGGGGAUGGACUCGCGGCUUAUCAGCUUGUUGGUGGGGUAGUGGCUUACCAAGGCUUUGACGGGUAGCCGGCCUGAGAGGGUGACCGGCUACAUUGGGACUGAGAUACGGCCCAGACUCCUACGGGAGGCAGCUGUGGGGAAUAUUGCACAAUGGGCGGAAGCCUGAUGCAGCAACGCCGCGUGCGGGAUGACGGCCUUCGGGUUGUAAACCGCUUUCGCCUGUGACGAAGCGUGAGUGACGGUAAUGGGUAAAGAAGCACCGGCUAACUACGUG